GGGGGGUGGAGUCCCUACCGGAGGGGCCCGCUGUGGCCGAACCAGGACCAGGGGCGGUGUGACGUCGAUCAGCAAAAGAGAAAUGAUCGAUGUACACUCCGUGCCAGUGGUGACCUUGAGCUUCAUAUCCACCAGCCCAGCAACAUCUGAUACUAUGAUGCUGGCCAGCGCAAGCUAUGAGGAGCAUGCCAGGUGUGGAAGACACCCAGGGAAGAGGCCACAGGCUUACCAGGACCUUGGAGUUAACCGGGGAGCUUCCCUUGAAGUUUGUAAAGAUAGCCUUCGAAGUCAUGAGAAACAACAGCCCCACCUGAAGCUUGCCACCGGACAUGUCUUUAACCUUCAGCUGUGUCCCCUUCAGGUGCAAGGGAUCUUUUUGUUUUUUUUCCACUAGGAAAACCUUGUUUACUUCCAAGACCACCAAUGGAAGCUUCCAGCUGUACCCAAGCCAUUCCAGCAGAGGACACAGAGGACAUACCUGAGUUUGAGGCAGAGCCCAGCGGUUAUGGAGCCCCAUGGACAAGAGGAUCACCAACCUCCUGUUUGGGUCCACCUCCUCUCAUGAACUGUUUUCCCAGAAGCACACCCUUCCCUAAUCACAGCGCCUACUGUGCCUGACAAAGGGAUAGGCGCCACAGCAAGUGCUGUGGACAGGGAGGCAACCGAGUACAGACUUGGCACAUUAAUACAGCACCAGCAGGAAUAGCCUUCCUGGAUCCAGCAGGAAGUGGAACCUGCAUGUUCAUGACAGGUGCUUCUGAUGUGGCCUCAGAGGUCUUCAUGUACUUGGAGCAAGUGUUUGCUUCUAGUGCAUACUUGUAGCAUGUCCGCAAGAGCUGCUGGUUCCUCCCUUGUGGACAACAUAUAUGUGGUAACUGCAGGGCAGAGAUGACCAGCAAGUUUGUUGCAGAAACAGUUAAAGGUUCCACAGCAGACCUCUUGUCUCCAUCCUGCAGGCUACACAGUGAAUGGGAUGGAAGCCAGAGAGCCCCCCCAGCCCAAGGCAGAACCCAGAGGGAUCAAAAGGAAAUGGACAGAAUUCUGUCAGAAGUCAGUUCCAGAACCAUAGGACCGGGGAAGACAGACAACCCUAAUAUCAUCCUUCUUUGGCUCCUUAGCUCCCUGACACUAGGGUUGAGGGAAAGGAAAAAGCCCCAGCAGCCCAGGAGACUGAGGACACAACUCCUCCUCCAAGAAAACACCACAAAGGAGUCCUAGGUUAUGCCAAAAUUGAACUACCACUCGUUCAGGGUCUUCAAUCAAAAGGGUUCUUCAUGAACUUCAAAGCCUGUCUUAUUGUACAGAGUAGAGAGAUGAACAUCAAAUCCAAGAUGGUGGAGGAGUCAGCGUGGAGGCCCCCAUGCAGUCUUCUCAGUGCGGCAGGGGUGAGGUACCACUGAACUAUAUAUCGGAGACCAAGGAUGCAGGAAAAGCCUGUUAGAAAAGGAGUUACAGCAUGGAGACCUAGGUAUUUCCAGUUAUUUCUAAAGCUUGCCUUAGAUUUAGGUAAAUAACUUUAAAAAAAAAAAGUACAUUUUAAGAAUUAAAACACCAUAAAGCACAAUUCAAAGGCACAUCUCUUUUUGUCAUGAAAUUCACAAAUGCGUGUUGGUGGGAAGAGUCUGGUAGGUGAUGGAAGAAUUGGAAAACACCUGUAUUCACACCAAGAAUGAAACUGUGACUCAGUGGGCCUGUGCUGUGCUGGUCAAAGGAGGAGUCUCUUUCCUUCUUUCUUAAUCUGUUUGGAUUGCUGUAACAAACAUAUCAUAAACUGGGUGGCUUAUAAAUGAACAUUUAUUUCUCACCGUUCUGGAGGCUGGGAAAGCUAAGAUCAUGGUGCCAGCAGAUACAUUGACUGGUGAGAGACCACUUCCUUAUUUAUGGCUAUCUUCUCACUGGAACCUCUGAUAGCAGAAGGGACAAGGGUUUGCUCUGGGGUCUCUUUUUUAAGGGCACUAAUUACAUUCAUGAGGAUACCACCCUUAGGACCUAAUCCUAAUCCUCUCAAAGACCCUACCUCCUAAUCCCAUCACUUUGUGGGGUAGGAUUUCAACAUGUGAAUAUUCAAGGAACACAAACAGAAAAAAAAUCUAUAGUGCCUUCCUUCCUUUUCUCUAAAAUGCAUCUACUUAAUUAUGUAACCGAAUGAGCCUCAAACUCCGGUGGACUUCAGAAUCAGCAGAAGUGCUCUCUGAAAUGCUUAUUCUUGGCCUUAGACAAACUGUUAUAGGACCAUCUUAAGUGGUGCUGAUGGAGAUGACUCCGGAUCUUCACUCAGAAGAACAGGUCCAAUUUAAGAACUGACCCUGAGUGUCAGCAAGUAGGCCCUGUACAUUUUUUUUUUAUGCAGAUGUGCUCAUCUUUUUGAACUAUGUGCUGGUUCAUUUUAAUCAUACCUACUGUAGACAUUCACCUCAUUAACAAAUGUUGGAAUAAGAGCUUACCGUAUGCCAGGCACUGUUUUAGGUGUGUACCAGUUAAACACUUUUGAUUUUUUAAAGAUCUGUUUUUUGUAAUGCUAUAUACAGUCUACCUUAUUUUUAUGGUAGCUGUGUUGUAGGGGUGAGUGCUGUAUAAACUUAAGUGACAGAGGAUAGGAUGGGAUGGAGAAGAGAGACAAGGCUUUUUGUUCUUAUCCUUCUGCUGAUUACCUUUGCAAACUAUAGGGGAUGCAUCAAGCUUCCAAGGCUUUAUAAUGUUACCAAAAAUGUAAAUACAAGUAUGCCAUGACAUAUGUAGGAAAAGACAAUUGUUUUUCAACAGUGGGUUAGGGGACGGGGAGGUCCUGAAGCAGUGGCUACACAGUACAAAAGAAAAUGACACAUCCUUCUGUUAUUUUGAGAAGGUAUCCAAAUUUGGGAAGCAUUAACUUAUCUUUCUCCCCUCUUAAUGAAUGGACAUUAGGUUGAAGGCAUGGGACAGCACACAUAUUUAAGGAAAGGAAAUAAAAUGUCUUAUUUUCUUAGGA
Nyctereutes procyonoides (raccoon dog) is the source of this 2968-nucleotide long non-coding RNA. RefSeq lists it as uncharacterized. NCBI's taxonomy places the organism in Eukaryota, Metazoa, Chordata, Mammalia, Carnivora, Canidae. The record is from RefSeq and is a predicted model, not a curated record. The transcript is spliced from 2 exons.